This 497-nucleotide ribosomal RNA is filed under the name uncultured bacterium. RNAcentral describes it as "partial 16S ribosomal RNA". It matches the Rfam family "Bacterial small subunit ribosomal RNA", at positions 28 to 507 of the family's 1533-position model. The record is from RNAcentral.
GAUGAACGCUGGCGGCGUGCCUAAUACAUGCAAGUCGAGCGAACGGAAGAGAAGCUUGCUUCUCUGAUUUUAGUGGCGGACGGGUGAGUAACACGUGGAUAACCUACCUAUCAGACUGGGAUAACUUCCGGAAACCGGAGCUAAUACCGGAUAAUAUUUUGAACCGCAUGGUUUAAAAGUGAAAGAAGGUCCUGCCGUCACCUGUUGAUGGGUCCGCGGUGCAUUAGCUAGUUGGUAAGGUAACGGCUUACCAAGGCACCGAUGCAUAGCCGACCUGAGAGGGUGAUCGGCCACACUGGAACUGAGACACGGCCCAGACUCCUACGGGAGGCAGCAGUAGGGAAUCUUCCGCAAUGGGCGCAAGCCUGACGGAGCAACGCCGCGUGAGUGAUGAAGGUCUUCGGAUCGUAAAACUCUGUUGUUAGGGAAGAACAUAUGUGUAAGUAACUGUUCACAUCUUGACGGUACCUAAUCAGAAAGCCACGGCUAACUACGUG